GAAACUCAGGCUAAUACCGCAUGAGCCCUUCGGGGGAAAGCAGGGGAUCUUCGGACCUUGCGCUAUUGGAUGAGCCUAUGCCUGAUUAGCUUGUUGGUGGGGUAACGGCCUACCAAGGCGACGAUCAGUAGCUGGUCUGAGAGGACGAUCAGCCACACUGGGACUGAGACACGGCCCAGACUCCUACGGGAGGCAGCAGUGGGGAAUAUUGGACAAUGGGCGCAAGCCUGAUCCAGCAAUGCCGCGUGUGUGAAGAAGGCCUGCGGGUUGUAAAGCACUUUCAGUGGGGAGGAAAAGCUCAAGGUUAAUACCCUUGGGUCUUGACGUUAUCCACAGAAGAAGCACCGGCUAACUCUGUGCCAGCAGCCGCGGUAAUACAGAGGGUGCAAGCGUUAAUCGGAAUUACUGGGCGUAAAGCGCGCGUAGGCGGUUUGUUAAGUCGGAUGUGAAAGCCCCGGGCUCAACCUGGGAACUGCAUUCGAUACUGGCAGGCUAGAGUAUGGUAGAGGGAAGUGGAAUUCCGGGUGUAGCGGUGAAAUGCGUA
This 544-nucleotide ribosomal RNA is filed under the name uncultured bacterium. Its description in RNAcentral is "bacterial SSU rRNA". It matches the Rfam family "Bacterial small subunit ribosomal RNA", at positions 153 to 692 of the family's 1533-position model. The record is from RNAcentral.